UAAAAUGAAAAAUGAACUCCAUGGGUCGGGCCCCAUUCGUAGCUGAAAACAACACUUUUCGUUUACAUUUAGAAGCUCAAAACUGCUCCUUUUUUGUUUCGUUUUG
Molecule: non-coding RNA, 106 nt
Organism: Caenorhabditis elegans
Lineage: Eukaryota; Metazoa; Nematoda; Chromadorea; Rhabditida; Rhabditidae
Source: Ensembl